Molecule: ribosomal RNA, 301 nt
Filed under: uncultured bacterium
Lineage: Bacteria
Description: partial 16S ribosomal RNA
Rfam family: Bacterial small subunit ribosomal RNA
Source: RNAcentral
CAGUAGCCGCGGGAAUACGAAGGGUGCAAGCGUUAAUCGGAAUUACUGGGCGUAAAGCGUGCGUAGGCGGUUCGUUAAGUCUGUUGUGAAAGCCCCGGGCUCAACCUGGGAAUGGCAAUGGAUACUGGCGAGCUAGAGUGUGUCAGAGGAUGGUGGAAUUCCCGGUGUAGCGGUGAAAUGCGUAGAUAUGUGGAGGAAUACCGAUGGCGAAGGCAGCCCCCUGGGAUAACACUGACGCUCAUGCACGAAAGCGUGGGGAGCAAACAGGAUUAGAUACCCGCGUAGUCCCUGUCUCUUAUAA